UCGGGUUGUAAAGCACUUUUGUCCGGAAAGAAAACCUUCGCUCGAAUACAGUGGGGGGAUGACGGCACCGGAAGAAUAAGCACCGGCUAACUACGUGCCAGCAGCGCGGUAAUCGUAGGGUGCGAGCGUUAAUCAGAAUUACUGGGCGUAAAGCGUGCGCAGGCGGUUCGUUAAGACAGAUGUGAAAUCCCCGGGCUUAACCUGGGAACUGCAUUUGUGACUGGCGAGCUAGAGUAUGGCAGAGGGGGGUAGAAUUCCACGUGUAGCAGUGAAAUGCGUAGAGAUGUGGAGGAAUACCGAUGGCGAAGGCAGCCCCCUGGGCCAAUACUGACGCUCAUGCACGAAAGCGUGGGGAGCAAACAGGAUUAGAUACCCUGGUAGUCCACGCCCUAAACGAUGUCAACUAGUUGUUGGGGAUUCAUUUCCUUAGUAACGUAGCUAACGCGUGAAGUUGACCGCCUGGGGAGUACGGUCGCAAGAUUAAAACUCAAAGGAAUUGACGGGGACCCGCACAAGCGGUGGAUGAAUGUGGAUUAAUUCGAUGCAACGCGAAAAACCUUACCUACCCUUGACAUGGUCGGAACCCUGCUG
RNAcentral lists this ribosomal RNA (591 nucleotides) under uncultured Burkholderia sp. Its description in RNAcentral is "bacterial SSU rRNA". It matches the Rfam family "Bacterial small subunit ribosomal RNA", at positions 418 to 1003 of the family's 1533-position model. The record is from RNAcentral. Lineage: Bacteria; Pseudomonadati; Pseudomonadota; Betaproteobacteria; Burkholderiales; Burkholderiaceae.